AAAGGAAUUGACGGGGGCCCGCACAAGCGGUGGAGCAUGUGGUUUAAUUCGAUGAUACGCGAGGAACCUUACCAAGGCUUAAAUGGGAAUUGACAGAAUUAGAGAUAAUUUUUUCUUCGGACAAUUUUCAAGGUGCUGCAUGGUUGUCGUCAGCUCGUGCCGUGAGGUGUUAGGUUAAGUCCUGCAACGAGCGCAACCCCUUUCAUUAGUUGCCAGCGUUUAAAGACGGGGACUCUAAUGAGACUGCCGGUGCAAACCGUGAGGAAGGUGGGGAUGACGUCAAAUCAUCACGGCCCUUACGCCUUGGGCUACACACGUGCUACAAUGGCCGGUACAGAGGGGAGCUACCAAGUGAUUGGAUGCGAAUCUUUAAAGCCGGUCUCAGUUCGGAUUGGAGUCUGCAACUCGACUCUAUGAAGCUGGAAUCGCUAGUAAUCGCAAAUCAGCAAUGUUGCGGUGAAUACGUUCCCGGGCCUUGCACACACCGCCCGU
Molecule: ribosomal RNA, 492 nt
Filed under: uncultured bacterium
Lineage: Bacteria
Description: bacterial SSU rRNA
Rfam family: Bacterial small subunit ribosomal RNA
Source: RNAcentral